Molecule: ribosomal RNA, 468 nt
Filed under: uncultured bacterium
Lineage: Bacteria
Description: partial 16S ribosomal RNA
Rfam family: Bacterial small subunit ribosomal RNA
Source: RNAcentral
GACGAACGCUGGCGGCGUGCUUAACACAUGCAAGUCGAACGGACAGGCCCUGCUUUUGUGGGGUGCUCGAGUGGCGAACUGGGGAGUAACACGUGAGUACCCUGCCCUUCACUUUGGGAUAACUUAAGGAAACUGGGGCUCAUACCGGAUAGGAGCUCCUGCUGCAUGGUGGGGGUUGGAAAGUUUCGGCGGUUGGGGAUGGACUCGCGGCUUAUCAGCUUGUUGGUGGGGUAGUGGCUUACCAAGGCUUUGACGGGUAGCCGGCCUGAGAGGGUGACCGGCCAAAUUGGGACUGGGAUACGGCCCAGACUCCUACGGGAGGCAGCGGAGGAGAAUGUUACACAAUGGGCUGAAGCCUGAUGCAGCAACGCCGCGUGGGGGAAGACGUCCUGCGGGUUGUAAACCGCUUUCGCUUGUGACGAAGCGAUAGUGACGGUAAUGGGAAAAGAAGCACCGGCUAACUACGUG